CCUACGGGAGGCAGCAGUGAGGAAUAUUGGUCAAUGGGGGAAACCCUGAAGCAGCAACGCCGCGUGGAGGAUGAAGGUUUUCGGAUUGUAAACUCCUUUUGUUAGAGAAGAUAAUGACGGUAUCUAACGAAUAAGCACCGGCUAACUCCGUGACAGCAGCCGCGGUAAUACGGAGGGUGCAAGCGUUACUCGGAAUCACUGGGCGUAAAGUGCGCGUAGGCGGGAUAGCAAGUCAGAUGUGAAAUCCUAUGGCUUAACCAUAGAACUGCAUUUGAAACUGGUAUUCUAGAGUAUGGGAGAGGUAAGUGGAAUUCUUGGUGUAGGGGUAAAAUCCGUAGAGAUCAAGAGGAAUACUCAUGGCGAAGGCGACCAGCUAGAACAUAACUGACGCUGAUGCGCGAAAGCGUGGGGAGCAAACAGGAUUAGAUACCCUAGUAGUC
Molecule: ribosomal RNA, 440 nt
Filed under: uncultured bacterium
Lineage: Bacteria
Description: partial 16S ribosomal RNA
Rfam family: Bacterial small subunit ribosomal RNA
Source: RNAcentral